Molecule: long non-coding RNA, 554 nt
Organism: Hyaena hyaena (striped hyena)
Lineage: Eukaryota; Metazoa; Chordata; Mammalia; Carnivora; Hyaenidae
Exons: 4
Source: RefSeq, a predicted model, not a curated record
GCGGUGCCGGGAGCCGCGAGGGCCAGUGGGCGGACGGGUGGGCGGGCCGCCGCGGGCCGCCUCUGAGGCUGGAGAGUGUUACCAGCUGGAAGGAAGCUAUUACUCCAGACUUCAGCUGCUGGACUUCGGGCUGGUUCAGGGAGGGACAGCGAGGGACGUGUUGAGAGGGGCUUGAGCCCAAACUGGUAAUCUGGCAGCUAGUUCCUCAGGCAGCUGAAAGGAAACAGCUACCCAGUGCAUCUCCCAUCUGGAUGUGACUGCUUGUCUCAGAGUCCUGUAGAAUGGGAACAUUGACAUUACUGUGAAAAGCCAAUACCAUCCAAAAACAAAGGAGCCAAUGAACAUGGCCUCGUCUCCCAGAAACUAAGAAUGACUGACUAUGGUACCAGAUAGCUUCCUGUUUUUCCUGGCUGACAAUCCCCCUGUGUACAGAGUCUGAUGCCUCAUCCAUCAGUAGCAGGUUCUGGGCCCAACCCAGGAGAUUUCAUUCCUUCCCUGUUAGUGUCUAAUUUCUACUCUUCCUUGAUAACCAAUAAAAUCUGUAUCACAAAGCU